UACAGAGGGUGCUAGCGUUGUUCGGAUUCAUUGGGCGUAAAGGGUGCGUAGGUGGCGCCGUAAGUCGGGUGUGAAAUUUCGGAGCUUAACUCCGAAACUGCAUUCGAUACUGCGGUGCUUGAGGACUGGAGAGGAGACUGGAAUUCAUGGUGUAGCAGUGAAAUGCGUAGAGAUCAUGAGGAAGACCAGUGGCGAAGGCGGGUCUCUGGACAGUUCCUGACGCUGAGGCACGAAGGUCAGGGGAGCAAACGGG
RNAcentral lists this ribosomal RNA (253 nucleotides) under uncultured bacterium. RNAcentral's name for it is "partial 16S ribosomal RNA". It matches the Rfam family "Bacterial small subunit ribosomal RNA", at positions 524 to 776 of the family's 1533-position model. The record is from RNAcentral.